CCGUAACGAGCGCAACCCUUGUCCUUAGUUACCAGCACGUUAUGGUGGGCACUCUAAGGAGACUGCCGGUGACAAACCGGAGGAAGGUGGGGAUGACGUCAAGUCAUCAUGGCCCUUACGGCCUGGGCUACACACGUGCUACAAUGGUCGGUACAAAGGGUUGCCAAGCCGCGAGGUGGAGCUAAUCCCAUAAAACCGAUCGUAGUCCGGAUCGCAGUCUGCAACUCGACUGCGUGAAGUCGGAAUCGCUAGUAAUCGUGAAUCAGAAUGUCACGGUGAAUACGUUCCCGGGCCUU
RNAcentral lists this ribosomal RNA (296 nucleotides) under uncultured Pseudomonas sp. RNAcentral describes it as "partial 16S ribosomal RNA". It matches the Rfam family "Bacterial small subunit ribosomal RNA", at positions 1087 to 1382 of the family's 1533-position model. Lineage: Bacteria; Pseudomonadati; Pseudomonadota; Gammaproteobacteria; Pseudomonadales; Pseudomonadaceae. The record is from RNAcentral.